UACGUAGGUGGCAAGCGUUGUCCGGAUUUACUGGGUGUAAAGGGCGUGCAGCCGGAGAGACAAGUCUGAUGUGAAAUCCACGGGCUCAACCCGUGAACUGCAUUUGAAACUGUUUCCCUUGAGUGUCGGAGAGGUAAUCGGAGUUCCUUGUGUAGCGGUGAAAUGCGUAGAUAUAAGGAAGAACACCAGUGGCGAAGGCGGAUUACUGGACGAUAACUGACGGUGAGGCGCGAAAGCGUGGGGAGCAAACAGG
Molecule: ribosomal RNA, 253 nt
Filed under: uncultured bacterium
Lineage: Bacteria
Description: partial 16S ribosomal RNA
Rfam family: Bacterial small subunit ribosomal RNA
Source: RNAcentral